This 488-nucleotide unclassified non-coding RNA is filed under the name Hevea brasiliensis (rubber tree). The record is from RNAcentral. Lineage: Eukaryota; Viridiplantae; Streptophyta; Magnoliopsida; Malpighiales; Euphorbiaceae.
GUCAAGUGCUCUAAUCGUUGGGCAUGAUGAGCAAGAACCACCAGAUGUGGAUGUGGAUCUGGGUAUGGUCAAUUCUGAAUCUCCUAUUAUGGCAGUAGCUAAUGACGCCCAUUUAACUCGCAUGGAACUUCCAUUCUAUUCAAUGGGUGGAAUAUCUUCUCCGAAGACUAAAGCUGUCAGGAUGGGUUCAGGGUUACCACUCACAGUCAUGAUUGAUAGUGGCGCAAGUCACAAUUUCAUCUCUGGUAAUGUUGUUUCUCAAUUAAAUUUGCCUAUUGAAGUUACCCCUAUUUUUGGUGUGCACUUAGGUGAUGACCACAGGGUUCAAUCCAAGGGGGGGCGUCGUGAUGUGAAAAUUGAUGCGGGAAAUUUGGAAGUCACAGCUGACUGUUACGUUUUUCCUUUAGGCCGUGUUGAUGAGAUUUUAGGUAUAGCACGGUUAGGAACACUGGGUGAAGUUCGAGUAAAUUGGACAACCAUGCAAAUGA